This 460-nucleotide ribosomal RNA is filed under the name uncultured bacterium. Its description in RNAcentral is "SSU rRNA". It matches the Rfam family "Bacterial small subunit ribosomal RNA", at positions 26 to 518 of the family's 1533-position model. The record is from RNAcentral.
AGAAUCAACGCUGGCGGCGUGCCUAACACAUGCAAGUCGAACGAGAAAGUGGAGCAAUCCAUGAGUAAAGUGGCGCACGGGUGAGUAACGCGUGACUAACCUACCCUUGAGUGGGGGAUAACCUAGAGAAAUCUGGGCUAAUACCGCAUAAUACCUUCGGGUCAAAGGAGCAAUUCGCUUAAGGAGGGGGUCGCGGCCGAUUAGUUAGUUGGCGGGGUAAUGGCCCACCAAGACUAUGAUCGGUAUCCGGCCUGAGAGGGCGCACGGACACACUGGAACUGAAACACGGUCCAGACUCCUACGGGAGGCAGCAGUGGGGAAUUUUGCGCAAUGGGGGAAACCCUGACGCAGCAACGCCGCGUGGAGGAUGAAGUCCCUUGGGACGUAAACUCCUUUCGAUCGGGACGAUAAUGACGGUACCGAGAGAAGAAGCCCCGGCUAACUUCGCGCCAGCAGCCGC